Coregonus clupeaformis (lake whitefish) is the source of this 2036-nucleotide long non-coding RNA. RefSeq lists it as uncharacterized. NCBI's taxonomy places the organism in Eukaryota, Metazoa, Chordata, Actinopteri, Salmoniformes, Salmonidae. The transcript is spliced from 2 exons. The record is from RefSeq and is a predicted model, not a curated record.
UCCAGGUUGUUGUGCUGCUUGGCUGGCCUGCUGCUGCCUGUGCAUGAGCUGAGCGCCUGCUGCUGACUUCACUCACAAUGCAGUUUUGCAGCCAGGCACGUGUGUUGUGACUGAGUGUGUGACAGAAAAUCGUUUUUGUGUCAUUUAGAGGUAAAAUGCGUGCAUUUUAGCGUUUGAGUCACUUUUCAAAAGUUGCUAAAAGUUCCAAAUAAAUGUUUUAAAGUAGCUAAAUGUGUUACUAGGUGCUGUUUGGAAAAAAAAAGUUGCCAGGGUAGUCUGAAAAGUUGCUAAAUCUAGCAACAAAAUUGCUAAAUUGGCAUCACUGAAUUGGGGAGCUCAGCAGAUGUGCUUAGCUAUUAUCUAUUACAAAAAUUCUAAUGACCUGUCUUGAGCGAGGACAAGGAAGUGCGUGAAACCCUGUAAGUAUCCAAUAUCAUGGCCGUUACCGCGAUUAUUGAUGAGCAUGGAAGGUUUCAGCCUUUUGUCGGUCUUGCAGGAGAAUAGUAAUUAUUCAUUUGGAGGAACUGAUACAGACACACAUCUCAUGCGAGGAAAGCGGCUACACCACGAUGUCCGAUUCCACCAACCCAAAUCCCUAAAAUUACCCCAAAUGCCACACCGACGCUGCGUUAUCUAUACUCGCGCGCAUAUCGCCUAUACCAGCUGGUGAGCGACACGGACUAUCGCACUCUCCAGUUGUUAAAAAGAAGCGACAUGUUUGAUGGCUGUGUCAGGGUCUACGGGAAAUUAUCUCACUUGAAGUCACAUAUAAGGACACACCCAGGUGAGAAGCCCUACAACUGCACCUGGCCCGACUGUGACAAGAAGUUCUCCUGUUCAGACGAACAAAAACGUUAGGUCUGUUGCAAAACUUUUUGCAACGGAUAAGUUGACUCGAAACAGAAAACAUUUUGCAACGAAAAUAAGAGUUUCUAUUGGACAAAUUCAGGAAGGUUCCUCCCCGUUUCGUUCUGUUUGCUUCCAUUUGGUUCCUAGAGUAAACGGUAACGGUUUCUGUUGCAAAAUGUUUUGCAACGGAAUCCGACUAAUGAAUCCACCCCUUGUCAGACCAAUGGAUAACUGGAUCUCCACUGUGGGGAAGCAGAAGUGCGGGAUAGGAGAGGAGGAGGUUCUGUAGCCAUACCCUGGUCCCAGAUUUGUCUUAAGACAACUCCUUUGACUAUUGUCAUGAUGCCAUACAUUCAUGUUUGGCUUGACAAGGAACACACGAUGCACAGCAGAGUUGGCUAAAGCACACAUACAGAUGGGACCAGGCUACUGUAGCCUACUUCACUCAGCCUGUCUCAGAUAACUCAUCUUGUAUUUUGUAUGGUAUUUGACUGGUAAACUGAGCUCUGAGAGCCAGCCCUCUAAGACAUGCCAUUUUCCAACGAUGGCACUUUCUCAAUAGGUGUUUUCUGAUUACUGUUUUUUUUAAUCGCUUUGGUACAUUUUCACAACACUUUGUACAAAACUCAAAACAGAUCAUCAAAAAGGCAGUUGUUUCAGAACUCUAAGCACGUUUUUCAAUUGACUAAGUACAACACACAAUUAGUUUUUCACCAAACUUAAUCAAUGUUUCAUCUAGAAAUACGUUUCACAUUGCAAUACAUGUUCAUAUUAAGUAAUAGCUAUUCACAAUGCAAUGCUCAUUACUUUUGAUAUGAUUGUCUUCUCAUUUGUUAAAAUACAUUUAACUAUGACUUAAUCCGACUGCUCUUAAUUGAUAAUCACUAAACCAUUUUGUAAACUUAUAGGUUAAUGGUUUCUCUACAACAUAUUGAGAACACAAUGAAAAUGUAUUUUUGAUAAGUAUAAACAUAUAAAAUAUGAUAUAUAUACUGUAAUGUACUAUUAUGACUUAUGAUUUUACUUCACAUUAAAUAAGUAAAAAAUAUCUGAUAUUGACAAGAUGUGUAAUGCAUCCCCUAUAGGUAUGUAUCCAAAAUGAAGUAUUUUGGUGUUUCACACUGCUUUGCUAAAAUUGCAUUGGCAACACAGUACUGUAAUAAAUGGCAUUUAUGUAUCCAAAGUGA